UGGGGAAUAUUGCACAAUGGGCGCAAGCCUGAUGCAGCCAUGCCGCGUGUAUGAAGAAGGCCUUCGGGUUGUAAAGUACUUUCAGCGGGGAGGAAGGCGAUAAGGUUAAUAACCUCGUCGAUUGACGUUACCCGCAGAAGAAGCACCGGCUAACUCCGUGCCAGCAGCCGCGGUAAUACGGAGGGGGCAAGCGUUAAUCGGAAUUACUGGGCGUAAAGCGCACGCAGGCGGUCUGUCAAGUCGGAUGUGAAAUCCCCGGGCUCAACCUGGGAACUGCAUUCGAAACUGGCAGGCUAGAGUCUUGUAGAGGGGGGUAGAAUUCCAGGUGUAGCGGUGAAAUGCGUAGAGAUCUGGAGGAAUACCGGUGGCGAAGGCGGCCCCCUGGACAAAGACUGACGCUCAGGUGCGAAAGCGUGGGGAGCAAACA
Molecule: ribosomal RNA, 427 nt
Filed under: uncultured bacterium
Lineage: Bacteria
Description: partial 16S ribosomal RNA
Rfam family: Bacterial small subunit ribosomal RNA
Source: RNAcentral